GCCCCGCAGAUCUGCAGGGAAGGAGAGGGCUGCGGCAGCGGCAGCUCCCCACUUUCCCGAUGGAGGAAAGGAGCCGAGGAAGGUAUUUCAGCCAAUCUUGAGGUUGCUUGGUGGUGAAUGGAUUGUAUCUGUGUUGUCAGGAGAGAGGUGGGGAGGACAGAGGAGUGCAGCGCAGGGGUUCGGGCUGUGAUUGUCGUUCUGACCGUGGUGCAUCCCAGUGCCCUCUCCCGCUCUUCCCGAGGGUCCUGACGCCCAGUGGCUGGCUGGGGUGGUUUGUGACCAACAGCCUUGUGGCCUGGCACCGAGUGAGGGUGACUGACAAGCACUGUAGGUGGCAGACAACCCCAAAUUGCCAGUGCCCUUCUUGGGAACACCCCUGGCAGAGUCGUGUCUGUAAUUUGUGGAGGCAGAAUAUGCUGGAAGCCGCGUUCCUGCUAAUGAUGGGAAGACGGGACACUUGGUAGGGGUCAUUUGUUGAGUGCGACUGGUUAGAUUGCGGGAAAUAGCACAAAACCCUGAUGAUGGAGAGAAGGGCUCUGAGUUCUCUUUGGCUCAGCUGCUGUGUAGCUUGGGGACUUCAGAGUCAGGGGGUCUCACUGUGUUGCCCAAGCAGGUCUUGAACCCCUAGGCUCAAGUGAUCCUCCUGCCCCAGCUUCCCAAGUAGCUGCUGGGUUAUAGGUUCAUACUACCGCAGCUGGUGGGAUUUCUCUUAAGUUAGAGGGGCUGGGCUGUAGCUGCAUUAUUUUGAGGGUCAUCCCAAGGCCCACCUUCCUGUCUAGUGAGGGCUCCAGAACACAAGUUCACUCUCAGAGUCUGUCGGGAGCCGCGGGGGGGAAUAGUGCUGGGCAUUUUGUCCCCAGUGCAGGAAUAAGGGUGCCAGCCAGUCCAGAGUGGGAUCCUGAGGCAGCUGAAGGGAUUUGCGUAACCUUUCAAGUCAUUGAGCUUGGCCAUCUCACCCUCCCACCUCUACUGGGCCCAGGCCCCAGUGAGGGAGGCGGGGCAGGCAGGCUGGAGGUGGGGGCUCCCUGGGCACCGGGACUUUCUCCACAGCAGCUUCUCAGGCAGUCCAGUUUUAGGCAGGCGUUUGUGGGGACCUUGCGGCUCUCUGAGUUCCCCACACCGGAGGCCCCUCAGGAUGCUCCUGUGUUUGCACGGGGCGCUUGCUGUGCUGUGUUCGCACACUUGGUCCACGGAAACAUCAUGAAGCCUGGCGUCCUCGUUGUGGGUGGGGUGCAGGGAGAGUUUAUAGUCCGGGCUGGGCCCUCCUUGGCUUUGUGACCUUCCAGAAGCCACCCAGUGCUCGGAGCUUCUGCUUCCGUGUGGUAACCAGGGUGUGUGAGGGGUUUCUGUCUCCAGCACUCAGUAAGCGCCUGAGAAGGGGUCACAGCAGCACUCACGCUGCUAGACAGUGCGGCAUCUGCAUCCGUGCCGGGCGCCCAGCUGGGACCUCUGGAGCAGCGCCUGGUGGGGGCACUGGUGAGGGAGAGGAGCCACCGGAUACGGCCGGCCUAGUGCAGUUGUGGGCCACUGGGUCGCACUGCUCAUCAGCUCCCCCCACCCCCCACUGAAAAGUGCCGUUUGUCUUCUGCGUGGAGAAAUGCAGCAGUGCCCUCCAUGCCUUGGAUUCGACUUUGAGGCACCUUUGCGGUCACUCCCCAUGCCAGGUAGCUGCUGCUGGAGGGGGCUCUGUGGCCAGCCCUGCUGUUGGCCCACGCAGCAUGCUAGUUCCCACACCCCUCCUCCCUGGCCAAGAGCUUGGAAGGAAGGACUCCUGGCUGCCACAGGGGCUGCCUUCCCUGGCUCACAUGCCUCCAGCCUGUGGCAGCUCCUCUCUGACCACACAGCGCUGCUUCCUCCUGUCCAGUGUGUGUUCUCACUUCCCUCUCUGGAAUGUCCACACCCCUCUGCCAACCCAAGACAGACAGGCCUGCCCGCAGCUCUCUCCUGAAGUCCAGUGGGAGGACUGUCCCCGGAGAACCUGGGGAACCUGCUGCCCCCACUCUGCCGGGUGUGAAUGCUCCAUUACCUGCCAGUUCCUGACUCACUUUCCUCACCUUCGAGCUGAGGCUGCCACUUGGGAGUGCCCUGGGAGCCCCCAGAGGGUUAGAUGAGGCCUAGGUUUGGCAUUGGCCCUUGGUGGGCUCUGCAAGUGGUGACUUAGGAGCUGAUUCCCUCCCAGGGUGCCUCCCUCCCAGGGGUCCCGCACCAACUGGGCCUGGGGCUCAGCACCGCCGCUCCCCUCUCUUGUGCUGCCCUCUGUCUUCACAUGUGUGUUUCUCCUGCCAUGCUGGCUGGUGGCCCCCAUUUAGCAUGCAUGGGUUCCCCGGGACGUGGGUUGCCACGUUGAGCUCACAGCCGUUCCUGCCACAGGAGUGCUGGUGCAGUUCCACUGCUCACAGGGAACUGGCUGUGAGGGGACCGCUCUGGGGAGGCCUCAUGGGGCUCCACAGUCCCAGCCUUGGACCAGCAGGGACCGUGUGUCCCAGCAAGCCUCAGGCCAGCCUUGUCCCCACUGGCCAUCUGCCUGCAGUGCUACCUUGGAAUUGGGUUGAUGCCAGUAGUUUUACCUGUAGUCGUUCAUACGUUUGUCCAUUCCUCUUGGAUCAGUUCUAGAAAAUGUGGUUUGACUGUUACUUUCUGACAUCACCAAGCCCUGACUCCAUCGCGCACCUGGCUGGUUUCAUGGCCGGCUGAGGCCCUGCUUAUUCCUCUGGGACCACAUCUCUGCCUCUGCCUCCCUCUUGGGAGCUGGGUUCCUUUCCUGGACCUCUUUUCCCACCCACGCCGAAGGAUUAGCGCCUCGAUGGUACUGACUCAUCUCUGACUGCAGUCCAGACUGCUCCCCAAGUUCUUCUGCUGUGCCAGCUGCCUGGCCAUCUGCAUUUGGACGGGGAGUCCCACAGAAAAUGUGGCUGCACGGGGACUUGUGCCCCUUGCCCUCGUCUUCCUGUCAUCUUUCCCAACCCAGCAGUGGCUCUGCAUGAAGUAGCCAGGGCCGGCACCCUCCAAUAGGAAGAACGGCUUAUUUUUCAGAGUGGCAAAUAAGGAAAAGAAUGAGAGUAUCUCAGAGUCUCUGUUUUCAGCGGCCCUCCUGGGAGAAACAUUUUUUAUAGACACCAGACGUCCUCGCCAGCCCCGCCAACUUUCCUUCCCCGGAUGGCCGUGGAGUGCUGGGGGUGGCCCCUCCCUCCCGAGCUGGUGCGAGGAGAGACCCGCACUGGCUGGGGUGGGCGCUGGGCAGGUGCCCUCAAGUGCACACUGCCACCCUGGCCCUGUGGCCACCUGUUCUUUGCUCUCGAGGCCCCAGGUCCCUGUGCCCACCAGCCGAGCUCUCUUUUGGGCUGUCCUUCUUACAUCCCAGACCUCAGAGUCUUCAUGACUUGACGGUGGACAGUUGACCUAGAUGAACGAUUGAUCUAGGUGGACAGUUGAUCUAGGUGCGGGUGGUUUGGGGGAAGGUGACUGUCAUCAAAUAAUCACUGAGUCAUUAAGCAAAUUGCAUAAUGUGUACAUGAAAGCCAGUG
RNAcentral lists this long non-coding RNA (3524 nucleotides) under Homo sapiens (human). Its description in RNAcentral is "HSALNT0350554". Lineage: Eukaryota; Metazoa; Chordata; Mammalia; Primates; Hominidae. The record is from RNAcentral.